UUAUAGGGUUUUGCGGCCCGAGAAGAUGAGAUAUUGCAUAACCCUAAUUCUAAUGAAAGAGGAGAUUGAGAUCAUCUCUCCCCUUCGAUCGACGGCGGUGACUCUUGAGUUUUCCAUGCUAUCUGAAACGAUCCGAUUUAUGCCGGUGUACCUGCGACUAUAAAAAGGCUAGAUAUCCUCCUCUCAAAAUCAUCUUCUCAAUCUGAUUAAUAUAUCAAGUUCUUCUCUUACCUUAUUCGUCUAAGCGAUCUCGACUCCUAGCCAUAGCAACCCACGACUUCUCAUGUCAUCCCUGUCGCAUCGAAGAGUGGAGGAUGUGGAUCCGAGUGGAGGUGAAGGAUAUUCAUGUAGGGAGCUGGCAAGAGCGAUUUUGAAGUUAGGAGAGGUGUACGAGAGGAUCGAAGGUGCGAAGCAGUUGAUGAUGAUUGAGUUAGAGAAGCAGAGGAUGUAAGCUGCAAAGGAGCUUGACUUGCAACGGAUGAACAUGUUCAUGGAUAUGCAGAUGGAGCUUGAAAGAUCCAAGCUUGGCAAACGUAGAGUUACUGCUUAGAGUAAAAAUAUAAACUUUCUUUGUCCCUGCUAAGAAAAUUGUGAAUAUAUGUUGUAUAGGAAAGAAGUUGCAGGGAUUGGAUUGUGGAGAAGCUACUGUGGCGGUAGACAAAGGAGAAGUGAUUGGAUCUGAGAGGUCAUUUAAAGAAAUUGUUUUUAUUCUUACUCAUUAGGUUUCAAGUUAGAGCAAUGCUUUUUUCUUAUGUUUACUUCUCUUCUAUAAGGUACAUUGGUAGCAAAGCAGAUUGGUGAAA
Molecule: long non-coding RNA, 803 nt
Organism: Brassica napus (rape)
Lineage: Eukaryota; Viridiplantae; Streptophyta; Magnoliopsida; Brassicales; Brassicaceae
Exons: 2
Source: RefSeq, a predicted model, not a curated record